Molecule: transfer RNA, 69 nt
Filed under: Chthonerpeton indistinctum
Lineage: Eukaryota; Metazoa; Chordata; Amphibia; Gymnophiona; Typhlonectidae
Description: tRNA-Ala
Rfam family: tRNA
About the family: Transfer RNA (tRNA) molecules are approximately 80 nucleotides in length. Their secondary structure includes four short double-helical elements and three loops (D, anti-codon, and T loops). Further hydrogen bonds mediate the characteristic L-shaped molecular structure. tRNAs have two regions of fundamental functional importance: the anti-codon, which is responsible for specific mRNA codon recognition, and the 3' end, to which the tRNAs corresponding amino acid is attached (by aminoacyl-tRNA synthetases). tRNAs cope with the degeneracy of the genetic code in two manners: having more than one tRNA (with a specific anti-codon) for a particular amino acid; and 'wobble' base-pairing, i.e. permitting non-standard base-pairing at the 3rd anti-codon position.
Source: RNAcentral
GAGGCCUUAGCUUAAUUAAAGUGUCUGAGUUGCAUUUAGGAGAUAUGAGUUAGUUUCUUGUAGGUCUUA